This is a long non-coding RNA of Sarcophilus harrisii (Tasmanian devil), 622 nucleotides long. RefSeq lists it as uncharacterized. The transcript has 3 exons. The record is from RefSeq and is a predicted model, not a curated record. NCBI's taxonomy places the organism in Eukaryota, Metazoa, Chordata, Mammalia, Dasyuromorphia, Dasyuridae.
UCACUUAUUAUAGAAAUCCAUAUAAUCAUGAAUUAAUCAGGGAAAGGCUUGUUGGGAUUUGGGGGUUACAUUGCAAAUGUUAAAGCUCACACUGCAGUAUGGGAGAGUGGGGGGGCAGCCAGCAGAUGUUCUCAAUGAAGUUAUAUGACAUCAUUUAGGCCCACCCUUUCAUUUUACACACAAAGAACUAGGCCCAGAGAGCUCAUGGGAUGAUAGGAUCACAGCUUGCGAGCUCUAAGGAACUCAAAAGCCACUAAGUCCAACCCUUCACUUUACAGAUGGGGAAACUGAGGCCAGAGAGGCAAAAAAUCUUGUCCAAAGUUGCCCAGGGGAGACACAGCACACCAGCCACAUCCUGUCGGACAAAGUCCACCUCGACAAAGGGGAAGGUCACAGCAAGAAGGAUGACCAUCAAGUGGGAGUGACUAAGCAAUCAGCCAUGGACCAGGCUCCAAGUUACAGCCUCAACAGAUAAGAAGUAGAGGGACUGAAUGCAGGACAUACCAAAUACUGUCAGAGAAAGUAGAAGGUUCUUCCCGAGAUUGUCCCAUAUCCUCAGGCACAAGUUUCUGCGUUUGGGUUCUUCUGAGCUCAGGUGACUCUCGUGCAUCCGGACUUCCAC